AUACGUCGUGGGAUAUAUAUUUAUUGCGCCUAUUAAAAGUCUGGCACAUAAAGGGAAAAAGUGCUCUAUUCUCAAAAACAGUUAUUUUCGAAAUUAAAAAAAAAUAGAUAUAAAGAACAGAAAACUACCUCCUUUGAGCAAUAAAGUCUUGGGACAAGAGGAGGCUUUCAAAUACAUCGGUGAGUUAAUGAUCGAAAUUAAAUGAGUGCCGAACGCAGCUCUGGAGCCUUCAUCUCCAUCCCACAAGUCAUUAUCCACACCUCAUCUUUCCUCCCCUACUU
RNAcentral lists this long non-coding RNA (281 nucleotides) under Bos taurus (domestic cattle). RNAcentral describes it as "long non-coding RNA NONBTAT011090". The record is from RNAcentral. Lineage: Eukaryota; Metazoa; Chordata; Mammalia; Artiodactyla; Bovidae.